GUACUACUUCCUCUGUUCGGAAUUACUUGUCGCAGAAAUGAAUGUAUUUAGAUAUAUUUUAGUUCUAGAUACAUCCAUAUCCGAGACAAGUAAUUCUGAAUGGAGGAAGUAGCUG
Triticum aestivum (bread wheat) is the source of this 115-nucleotide non-coding RNA. The record is from Rfam. Lineage: Eukaryota; Viridiplantae; Streptophyta; Magnoliopsida; Poales; Poaceae.